RNAcentral lists this transfer RNA (66 nucleotides) under Inara alboguttata. Its description in RNAcentral is "tRNA-Trp". Lineage: Eukaryota; Metazoa; Arthropoda; Insecta; Hemiptera; Reduviidae. The record is from RNAcentral.
AAAGCUUUAAGUUAAUAAAACUAUUAACCUUCAAAGUUAAAAUUACAGGAAUAUUUGUAAGCUUUA